Molecule: ribosomal RNA, 409 nt
Filed under: Sylvirana maosonensis (Mo-Son frog)
Lineage: Eukaryota; Metazoa; Chordata; Amphibia; Anura; Ranidae
Description: partial 16S ribosomal RNA
Rfam family: Bacterial large subunit ribosomal RNA
Source: RNAcentral
CUUGAUUAACAUAAGAGGUCCAGCCUGCCCAGUGACAAAGUUUAACGGCCGCGGUACCCUAACCGUGCAAAGGUAGCAUAAUCACUUGUUCUCUAAAUAGGGACUAGUAUCAACGGCAUCACGAGGGCUAUACUGUCUCCUUUCUCCAAUCAGUGAAACUGAUCUCCCCGUGAAGAAGCGGGGAUUUAGCUAUAAGACGAGAAGACCCCAUGGAGCUUUAAGCAACAUAUUUACCUUCAUAUACUUAUACCAGCUCAAUAAAAAGAACUAAGUACUAGCUUUAGGUUGGGGGGACCACGGAGUAUAACUUAACCUCCAUGACAAACGGGCUACGCCCUUAUCCACGAGCCACAACUCUAAGAAUCAAUAAACUGAUGUUUAAUGACCCGAUAAUUCGAUCAACGAACCA